AAUAAGAGUAAAUGAGUUCCCCGUAUAUGCUGCAGAAUUGGCUGCUGCGUUUCUACAAAGACACCGUAAAUGUCUACACUAUGUGGGAAAGCAAUUUUUCU
Molecule: non-coding RNA, 101 nt
Organism: Sporosarcina sp. P33
Lineage: Bacteria; Bacillati; Bacillota; Bacilli; Caryophanales; Caryophanaceae
Source: Rfam